AGAGGACUCUACGAGCAUGGAGGAGGGGAGCGAUAGCGAUAGUGAAGACAGAUACGCAAAUACUGGAGAGGAAGUGGGUAACAGGAGACACCACGAUCGGCGACGGGAAUCUCUCGUAUCUGUAACGUUUGCCACAGAAAGGGGAGAGUGGGGAGAGUGACUUGAUGGGGACAAGUAAGAGAAAGAAAAAUAAUUUGUAAGGAGUCAAAAAGGCGCCCCGGGAAAGAGCCCUCGAGCAAGAACCGAACGGAUGCCCUCCCGCGUUUUGGCCCAUAUAACCGCAAGGUUGGUGGGCCAUGGGUGGUUGUUAUGCUAAAGGUUACAAAUAAAACUACGU
Molecule: long non-coding RNA, 337 nt
Organism: Maniola jurtina (meadow brown)
Lineage: Eukaryota; Metazoa; Arthropoda; Insecta; Lepidoptera; Nymphalidae
Exons: 4
Source: RefSeq, a predicted model, not a curated record